RNAcentral lists this non-coding RNA (178 nucleotides) under Bacteroidota bacterium. The record is from RNAcentral. Lineage: Bacteria; Pseudomonadati; Bacteroidota.
UUACUUUACCUUUGCUCCGUUCAAUAGUUAAGGGAACUCCGUGAGAACCGGAGACAGUACCCGCUGCUGUGAUGCUUACCCGUAUGGGUUAUCCUCUUUCGAACCACUGCCGUAAAAGGCGGGAAGGUGCAGGAUGUAAAAGCUAAGUCAGAAGACCUGCUGGAGAACGCUUAUAUUU